AGGGUAAUAGCUUAGUGGUAGAGUGUAUGCUUAGCAUGCAUGAGGUCCUGGCUUCAAUUUCCACUACCUCCA
RNAcentral lists this transfer RNA (72 nucleotides) under Camelus bactrianus (Bactrian camel). It matches the Rfam family "tRNA". From Rfam's summary of the family: Transfer RNA (tRNA) molecules are approximately 80 nucleotides in length. Their secondary structure includes four short double-helical elements and three loops (D, anti-codon, and T loops). RNAcentral also lists the same sequence under 2 other names. The record is from Rfam by way of RNAcentral. Lineage: Eukaryota; Metazoa; Chordata; Mammalia; Artiodactyla; Camelidae.